RNAcentral lists this ribosomal RNA (521 nucleotides) under uncultured bacterium. RNAcentral describes it as "bacterial SSU rRNA". It matches the Rfam family "Bacterial small subunit ribosomal RNA", at positions 988 to 1509 of the family's 1533-position model. The record is from RNAcentral.
CCAGAGAACUUAGCAGAGAUGCUUUGGUGCCUUCGGGAACUCUGAGACAGGUGCUGCAUGGCUGUCGUCAGCUCGUGUUGUGAAAUGUUGGGUUAAGUCCCGCAACGAGCGCAACCCUUAUCCUUUGUUGCCAGCGGCUCGGCCGGGAACUCAAAGGAGACUGCCGGUGAUAAACCGGAGGAGGGUGGGGAUGACGUCAAGUCAUCAUGGCCCUUACGGCCAGGGCUACACACGUGCUACAAUGGCGCAUACAAAGAGAAGCGACCUCGCGAGAGCAAGCGGACCUCAUAAAGUGCGUCGUAGUCCGGAUUGGAGUCUGCAACUCGACUCCAUGAAGUCGGAAUCGCUAGUAAUCGUAGAUCAGAAUGCUACGGUGAAUACGUUCCCGGGCCUUGUACACACCGCCCGUCACACCAUGGGAGUGGGUUGCAAAAGAAGUAGGUAGCUUAACCUUCGGGAGGGCGCUUACCACUUUGUGAUUCAUGACUGGGGUGAAGUCGUAACAAGGUAAGCGUAGCGAG